This 317-nucleotide small RNA is filed under the name Arabidopsis thaliana (thale cress). RNAcentral describes it as "ATSL071800". Lineage: Eukaryota; Viridiplantae; Streptophyta; Magnoliopsida; Brassicales; Brassicaceae. The record is from RNAcentral.
UACAAUCGGCAAAAUCUAGAGUAUCUAAUAAUGUUUUGUGUAUAGAAUCUGUAAAUAUUUGUUUAGUAUAAUGUAACAGGAUAAUUCUCAUUCGAUAUAAAAAACUACAUAUAUAUUAGUUGUUUUAGGCCAUCUCCAUCAGUAUUUCUGAAUGAGAAACUUAAUAAUAAAAUAAGAACAAAAAAGUGAAAAAGUAGGAUAGAGAGGGAGAAGAGUACCUCACUUGAGAAACUAAGAGAAUCGUUUUUCUGACAGAAUCGCCACAUGUCAAUCAAAUAUUAGUUUAACUAUUACAAUUUAAAUAAAAUAUAUUAUAU